GAAACAAAGCUCUGCGUGAAAAAUUAAGAGCGGCAAAACUCCCGCUUUUGUUUCACCCACCUCAUAUCAUUUCAGCCCCCACACACAUUUUUGUCCACACACACUCACCUCACUCACCUUCUAUAAUCACCGGUGUCUUCAAACUCAGCUCUUCGACGAUUGGGUAACUUUUGGGGACAACUGAAUCGAGUUCUCUCUCAAUCGAUUUCAUCGUUAUUAGGGUUUUGGUUUCAGGACUUCAAUUAAAUUAGGGAUCCACUCCAACAUGAAUGGCUUGAGUCGAAUUAGGGCUUUUCACUUCAAUUGGGGCUUCGAAUUCUUGGAUUGUGAUUUAAGAUAACAUCCCUGCUGUUGGUAUGGCAAUGGAGGGUGCGACUAUGUCAAAAAACCUGAAUUCUUACUGAAGUCUAUUCCAAAUAUUAGCAUAUUUGAUCCCAAAGUAAAGCUUCCAGUGAAGAAAUUCUAUGAAGAUUUUUAUACUAAGGUAAUUCCUUACUCGCUUUAAGGCUUGGCUGCAGAUACAGCUCCUGGUUUCAUAUCUCUUCAGAAAUCCAGAAGUUUUGGACAUGGUUACAUUCAAGGUGCCACUUAUUCUUCAGCUGUUAGUGGAAGAGUGAAGAUAUUUUGUUUAUUGAAAGAAAAAUGAAGUGUUGUGCAAAGUUGUGAGUGACUAAAGUUGUGAGGCGAUAAACUGAUUUGGUAGCUGCUUUGAUUUGAUUCCAUUUGGUAGUUACUUUUGUUUGUAUCAAAGAAUAGUUUAUUGAGAUGUUUAACAUUUAAAGUGUAUAUUUUCAACUCCUUUCGGUAAAUAAUGUUGCUUUCGAUUAAUAAAAUGGGGCAGCUGCUGUAGUAAAAUGUUUGAAAGUUA
Long non-coding RNA from Daucus carota subsp. sativus, 868 nucleotides. RefSeq lists it as uncharacterized. The record is from RefSeq and is a predicted model, not a curated record. Lineage: Eukaryota; Viridiplantae; Streptophyta; Magnoliopsida; Apiales; Apiaceae. The transcript has 5 exons.